GGGCCCGCACAAGCGGUGGAGUAUGUGGUUUAAUUCGAUGCAACGCGAAGAACCUUACCAGGGUUUGACAUCCUGCGAAUCUUUUGGAAACGAGAGAGUGCCUUCGGGAACGCAGUGACAGGUGGUGCAUGGCUGUCGUCAGCUCGUGUCGUGAGAUGUUGGGUUAAGUCCCGCAACGAGCGCAACCCACGUCGUUAGUUGCCAGCAUUCAGUUGGGCACUCUAGCGAGACCGCCGGUGAUAAACCGGAGGAAGGUGUGGACGACGUCAAGUCAUCAUGCCCCCUUCACGAUCCUGGCUACACACGUACUACAAUGCUACGGACAAAGGGCAGCAAACUCGCGAGAGCUAGCAAA
This 355-nucleotide ribosomal RNA is filed under the name uncultured bacterium. Its description in RNAcentral is "bacterial SSU rRNA". It matches the Rfam family "Bacterial small subunit ribosomal RNA", at positions 917 to 1271 of the family's 1533-position model. The record is from RNAcentral.